This 447-nucleotide ribosomal RNA is filed under the name uncultured soil bacterium. RNAcentral's name for it is "bacterial SSU rRNA". It matches the Rfam family "Bacterial small subunit ribosomal RNA", at positions 26 to 518 of the family's 1533-position model. The record is from RNAcentral.
AGAACGAACGCUGGCGGCAUGCCUAAUACAUGCAAGUCGAACGAACACUUCGGUGUUAGUGGCGCACGGGUGCGUAACGCGUGGGAAUCUGCCCUUGGGUUCGGAAUAACAGUUGGAAACGACUGCUAAUACCGGAUGAUAUCGAAAGAUCAAAGAUUUAUCGCCCAGGGAUGAGCCCGCGUAGGAUUAGCUAGUUGGUGAGGUAAAGGCUCACCAAGGCGACGAUCCUUAGCUGGUCUGAGAGGAUGAUCAGCCACACUGGGACUGAGACACGGCCCAGACUCCUACGGGAGGCAGCAGUAGGGAAUAUUGGACAAUGGGCGCAAGCCUGAUCCAGCAAUGCCGCGUGAGUGAUGAAGGCCUUAGGGUUGUAAAGCUCUUUUACCCGAGAUGAUAAUGACAGUAUCGGAGAAUAAGCCCCGGCUAACCUCCGUCGCCAGCAGCCGC